GGCAGUAGUAGCUCAUUAUUUGAUCUAGUAAUGGAGGGAAGAUAUGGCAGUAGAAGGUCUCGUAAUGGGGGUAGAUAUGGCAGUAGCAGGUCUAGUAAUGGGGGGUAGAUAUGGCAGUAGCAGGUCUAGUAAUGGGGGGGUAGAUAUGGCAGUAGCAGGUCUAGUAAUGGGGGGUAGAUAUGGCAGUAGCAGGUCUAGUAAUGGGGGGUAGAUAUGGCAGUAGCAGGUCUAGUAAUGGGGGUAGAUAUGGCAGUAGCAGGUCUAGUAAUGGGGGUAGAUAUGGCAGUAUCUCUUUCCAUCAUUCAGGACUGGGGGGGGGUUCCUUCUCUGACCUUCAUUCAGGAAAGACAACAGUUGGGAAUACCGUCACUAAACCUCUAAGAAACGAAAAGAAAAAGCCAUCUUUCUAGCAAAAACAACAAUGUAUUGGUUAAAGGCUUU
Molecule: long non-coding RNA, 441 nt
Filed under: Salmo salar (Atlantic salmon)
Lineage: Eukaryota; Metazoa; Chordata; Actinopteri; Salmoniformes; Salmonidae
Description: lncRNA (ENSSSAG00000088732.1)
Source: RNAcentral